UUCUGUAAGCCUGCGAAGGUGUGCUGUGAGGCAUGCUGGAGGUAUCAGAAGUGCGAAUGCUGACAUAAGUAACGAUAAAGCGGGUGAAAAGCCCGCUCGCCGGAAGACCAAGGGUUCCUGUCCAACGUUAAUCGGGGCAGGGUGAGUCGACCCCUAAGGCGAGGCCGAAAGGCGUAGUCGAUGGGAAACAGGUUAAUAUUCCUGUACUUGGUGUUACUGCGAAGGGGGGACGGAGAAGGCUAUGUUGGCCGGGCGACGGUUGUCCCGGUUUAAGCGUGUAGGCUGGUUUUCCAGGCAAAUCCGGAAAAUCAAGGCUGAGGCGUGAUGACGAGGCACUACGGUGCUGAAGCAACAAAUGCCCUGCUUCCAGGAAAAGCCUCUAAGCAUCAGGUAACAUCAAAUCGUACCCCAAACCGACACAGGUGGUCAGGUAGAGAAUACCAAGGCGCUUGAGAGAACUCGGGUGAAGGAACUAGGCAAAAUGGUGCCGUAACUUCGGGAGAAGGCACGCUGAUAUGUAGGUGAAGUCCCUCGCGGAUGGAGCUGAAAUCAGUCGAAGAUACCAGCUGGCUGCAACUGUUUAUUAAAAACACAGCACUGUGCAAACACGAAAGUGGACGUAUACGGUGUGACGCCUGCCCGGUGC
This 646-nucleotide ribosomal RNA is filed under the name Escherichia coli. RNAcentral's name for it is "partial 23S ribosomal RNA". It matches the Rfam family "Bacterial large subunit ribosomal RNA", at positions 1239 to 1869 of the family's 2925-position model. Lineage: Bacteria; Pseudomonadati; Pseudomonadota; Gammaproteobacteria; Enterobacterales; Enterobacteriaceae. The record is from RNAcentral.